Molecule: ribosomal RNA, 326 nt
Filed under: uncultured bacterium
Lineage: Bacteria
Description: bacterial SSU rRNA
Rfam family: Bacterial small subunit ribosomal RNA
Source: RNAcentral
AUUGAACGCUGGCGGCAUGCCUUACACAUGCAAGUCGAACGUGAAAGCGGGGCAACCCGCAAGUAGAGUGGCGGACGGGUGAGUAAUACAUCGGAACGUGUCCAGUAAUGGGGGAUAACCUAGCGAAAGUUAGGCUAAUACCGCAUACGAUCUACGGAUGAAAGCGGGGGAUGCGGCACUAAAGGCUUUUGGCGAAGGUGGCCAAAGGUGAGUCAAGAGCUUUUAGUGCUGCACCUCGCGUUAUUGGAGCGGCUGAUGUCUGAUUAGCUAGUUGGUGAGGUAAAGGCUUACCAAGGCGACGAUCAGUAGCUGGUCUGAGAGGACGG